Long non-coding RNA from Bactrocera neohumeralis, 7510 nucleotides. RefSeq lists it as uncharacterized. The transcript is spliced from 4 exons. The record is from RefSeq and is a predicted model, not a curated record. NCBI's taxonomy places the organism in Eukaryota, Metazoa, Arthropoda, Insecta, Diptera, Tephritidae.
UCAAUAUCGUUGCUCUCCUUCUUCUUGCUGUUGUUUUCACUGACGCUGCUGACUGCUGAUAUUCUAUAUAUUUUUUAGUGAAUUUUUAAUGCAACCGCCUUGUGUUGAAAUUUUCGAACUUGGAAUGUGCCAUUUUUGAGGUUAAGGUGGCUUCGCCAAUGUCACAUUCGAUGGCGUAAGAACAAAUGUCGUGGCGCGUAUAACGCAGCAACAUACAGGCGUCACGGUUUGUCGCGUCUCGUCUUGCUGCCAAAUCGUUUGGUGCAGAACAUUUGGUGUCGCCAGAACGUUUUCAACGCGCUCGCUUAUUAGCUUCAUUGUCGUUUGCAAUUGCUGUUAAUUCUAUAUUGCUGUCUUAUUGUUGCUGUGGUUGUUGUUGCUGCAUAGCUAUUUAAAAAGCCAAUACCGCUCCGCAUUUUAACAAAAACCACGAAAAUCAAUAGAAACCAUAUAAUGAGCACAAUUAGUGGAAACAAAAGUCAAUUUAAAAAAAGUAUAAAUGUAACUUUGGUUGCACCGAAACUCAAAUACCCUACACAUAUAUAAAAUAUUUCUUAUAAAAACUUUAAUCAGUCAAUUUGUAUGGCAGCCAUAUGCUAUAGUGACUCGAUCUGAGAUAUUUGUUCGGAUAUAGCGCCGUUAAUUUCGAUAUUAAUCCAUGCCAAAUUCGGUGAAGAUAGCUCGUCAAAUGAAAAAGUUUUCCAUACAACCACUUGAUUUCAAUCAUUCAGUUUGUAUGGCAGCUCUGUGCAAUAGUGAUCCGAUAUCAACUGUUCCGACAAGUGAGCAGCCUUUAGGUGACGAUAUGUAUUUACGGAGAUGGCUAAAUCAACUCAACUCGUGUCUGACGUCUUCUUUUGAAUGUUAUAAACAUAGUGGCAAACUUAAUAUAAGGUGUUCAGGGUAUAUAUUGCUGAAAGUUAAUAUUUAAUCGAAUAUAUGAGCAUCUCACUGUUCUCAUUUUUGACAAAAGUAAAGCAAAAAAUUGAGAAAAUCUAAGCCAAUUAGUGCAAAUAAAAUUAAUUAAAUAUUUCAGUUCUUUCACUUUCAAAAGUAUGAUUAUGAUUUUGAUUUCAAUAGUAAAUUAGUGAUUUCAGAAAAAAGUUUAAAGAAAUGAAAUUUAUAUAAAAACCUCAUCAAAAAAGUGUUUUCAACAUAAUAUUUUUCGUUUCAACAAGUUCGAAACAAGUUUAAACCCACUGAUAACCCAGUACAUUGAACACAGUAUUAAAUUUUUUUUAAGUUUUUUGUACGUAUUUGUUAUUGUUAUCUAAAAAUUCACGACAAAGAUAUUUUCUGCUUCGUUCCUCGAACUAUGAUGCUAUGUAGGCUAUGGUGCUUUUCUCCGCCAAAAUGACUGGGACCGAAAUUACAUGUGUGUAUGUCAUUGCCUCUUGCACCUGUAUUAAAAGCUUCAGUAAGGUUUUCCUUGAUUCCAAGCUUAGUUUCAAGCCGACACUGAGUGGCUGAUUGAUUUUCAUGAGUGGACGUUUUUUCAUGAGAGAAGGUUAAGAAAAUAAUGAAUUUCAAAAACGAAAAUUAUUUUGAUCAGUUUCAACAUAUACAACUUUAAUUAAAUUACUAAUGAAUUAGUUUUUUUAGUAAUUGCAUUUUUCAAAUCGGACCACAAUGGUUGUUCAGAUUUCUGAACAGUUCCCAACGGCAUACAUAAGUUUUUCUUAUCUUUUAAUAGUUUAGUUCACAUAACCAGCAACACAGCACACUUUGCCAGCAAUCAUCACAUCGGUGGGCCGUUUUAUAUCAUCAAUUAACUACUCGCGACAACCAUAAGAUUAUAGAAUGUACUCUUGGCCACCGAGUCGUUGAUGUUGAUGGCUGGCGCACCGAGACGUCUCUCCUUCACCAAUUUAUAUAAAUUGUGCACAUCGGUUGUAGUUUCUUCGUUCAAAUCCUUGACGCCCUUCGGGUAUUGUGGGCACUUUUCAUGCACUGAUUUGGUUAAUUCACCACCAUUAUCGAGAACAGUAAGGUCAGUUCAAUACUCCAUAAGUAUUCUUUAUUCAUCAUCCUUUGAAGGGUAACACUGAGCUAGUCUUCCUUUUCAAUGGGUCUCGGAGACUAUUGGCUGAUUCAGACAACAUCGUCUUUGGACUUAAGCUUUGACAGAAAAAUUCAAUGCAUGCUAUUGUAUAACUAUGACGGCAAAAAAGUUUCCGAGACGAAACAAAAGAAAGUGAUGCUUUGAUAAGCAGCUAUCCUCAUGUUUACCGGGUUUAUUAAGUUUGCCACGAAGUUUGAAAAGUUUCGAAGUUGUAGAAGCUUUUUAUUUGACAAGAUCUCUUCAUAAAAUGUGGCUGUUGAGGUCCAGGCCCAAUGCUGGCUGGCUUAACUUGCUUUCGUUGACUUUUCUAUUCCAAAGUGCUUGAAGCAAAAGUAGAUUUGGUUUCGUUUCAUAUGCUCUAGUAUAGUUCUAUUCAGUUUUGACAAUUCUCACAACAAAGCAAGUAAAGCUAGCCAGCAAUAUGCCAGGCCCUUUAAUGUUUUCUAAAGUAAAGCUACAAUAAAUGAAGAACUGUUUCAUGCAUGUGGUUGGUGUACAAACUGAACGAUCAAAAUCAGCUUUUUAUAUGGAAACCUUUUUUAUUUGACCUGAUAUCUUCGCGAAAUUUGUUGAGAAUAAUACGUGAAAACGGUACUUUACAGAUAAUAUUCAGAUCGGACCACCAUUUCAUACUUACAUAUGUAUAUAUGUAGCUGCCACACAAACAGGCUGAUCAAAAUCAUGUUCUCUUAAGAAAAAUUUAACCUAUGAUGGGCUAGCUGCGGUGCAGUCGAAGUUAAUAUAUUUUCUUGUUAUUUUAAUUAUUCUCUCAUUGUAUCGAAAUAUACUUUUGAAACUUUCUUUAUCGCAUCCAUUGAGCUGAAAAUAACCAAAUAAGAAAUUUUAAAUAUCAGAAAGGAGCACGGAAAGCAAAACCUUCAUUUGGCGUACCUAUUGGUUAUGUCUCUUUAAUGUCAUUGUGAGAACUGUCAAGCGAAGCAUUAAAUGUUCUCUAUAAAUAAAUGAUAUAUUAUUAUAUAAUAUAUCGUCACCUAGAAUGCAAAACAAAGUAUCAUAAGAAAAAUAAAAAUUUUAAUUUGUAUUGCUUAAGAUUCACUACAUCAUAUUGCAUACAUAUAUGCAGCAUACAAUUUUCAGUUUCCGUUGUCAGAUAUAACCAAUAUAUAACCAUUUUAUAACCAAAACUCAACUUUUACUUCAAUAUGAGUGGUUUGUAUUAUACUUGUAUCGUUUUUCCUUCGCCUUUAAAUUUAUGAAAAGUGGUGUUACGUUUGUUUGCAUUUAAAGAGACGAUAUAUGAUUUUUAGCAACUUUUUAUAAAAAAUUUACUGAUAAUUUUUCCGUAAAUAAUUUUCCGAUAUUUUUGUCCACCAUGUUGCAAAAUUUAUUGUAGAUAGUACGAUCACCUGAAAUCACUCUUCCCCGCAGAGACUGGAAUACGGUGAUUACGCAAGUAAAGUGAUCGCCAUUUUGUAUCAAAAUGUCAUAUAGAUAUACAUAUGUUUUAUACAUGCAAAUAUAUUUAUGAUUAAAAAAGCCUAAAAGCAAGAAUUUGAUUCCUCUAGCUUUACUCCUAGAAUAAAUUCGCAACAUUAAGCCCUUUUUGAAGCGCUAGAUGGGCACAGCUCCUUAAGUAAAAUGUUGGUGACUUGUCAUUGCCUAUCUUACGAGUCAUUUAAAUUUAUCUUCAUUAAAAACUAAAAUUGAUUUUGAUUUCUAAAUUUUUAUCACCAAUUAUUGUUGGUGUAGGGAUCCGAAAUUGUUACAAGCAUUUAUUUAUGUCAGAACUUAUUCAAUGACCACGCUUCAAUAGUAAAAAUAUUUACAAAAUAAACCAGUAAACGGCAUUUUCCAGCAGGUACUGGCACACUCAUGCAUACUUACACACAUACACAUGCAUGUAUGCCCAUUUUCGCAAUUACGGAUUAAAACUCUUAAUUUCAGCACAGCGAAAGGGCUAAGUUUUAUGAAAAUAACCUACAUACAUACAUAUAUAUAUAUGCUGCAAACCACAUAAUUACAUGCAUACAAUAGCAUAUACCAUAUUUACUGAAUGCAUAUAGAGCACCCAUUAUGUGACCUUCAGAAAUUUAGGAUGACCAAAGCAAAUUCAUUAUACUUAUAUAAUGCAUAUAAGUAUGUAUGUAUGCAGGGAAUAAUUACAAAAGGUGUCAAGGUGCUUAGAGAUAACAAAAAUAGUAAAAUAGUAUAACCAUAAUCCAUUUAUGACCAUGUAAUAAUGUGGUAAAAAUCUAGUCUACGAAAGAUAAAUAAGAUGUUUUGUAGUACGGUAUUUAGUGGCUCCGAUUGCAAUAAUGAGCAACAGCAUCCGCGCUGAAGGUAGUAAAAUGCGAAGGCGUGCCGGAAAUACCGAGCAUUUUGACACAUUUGCGAAGGAUGAAAGACAAAAGUAUAAGCGAUUUUUGAAUGAAGAAAGAGAAACACAAUUUUUACUACAAAAGCCAUAAAUACGUAGCUAUUUUAGUAAAAAGAAUCCAAUAUAAAAUAUCAUAAUGGCCAUUUAAUGACUUUUAAGCACAGAAAAUAUAUUUUCAUACUUCGAUUAUGGAUUGAAUAUUUGCCGUAUACGUGUUUUCCUUAACUGGCUAACUGAAGGAGCGUUUCUACCUGUGCUACCUAAAGCACAUAGCUGCCAAGCCAACUAGUCAAUAGAAAUCAGUAUAAUGUUCUUUUUAUACACGUUUAUGCUAUAAUAAAUACACAUGUAUAUGUGACCUGAUCUACGGAAAGGAGGCUUAGGUGUCAAAAAAUCAAUUUUAACUUUUUAGUUGAUUCGGAUGGAAGAUGAGAUGAGUUUAUUUUUACCAGCUGUUUCCCAGAAAACUAGUUUUCGCACGUUAGCUGCCUUUUCAUAGACCAGGUCACCUAUAAUUAAUAUAGUUUCGAUGCAGCCGAAAUUCACUUUUUUCUUGUUUUUUCUUCGACUAAUAGUCUUAUCUUAUUUUAGUCCUUCAAACGUUCCAAAUUUGCCAAGCUUGUUUUCACUCUUUUUUUAAAUACUGCAUCCAUCCUGAUAUCGGACUCGUGCACUUUUUAUUAUAUUUUCGUUCGUAACAGCCGAAUCUACGUUCUUGUUUUCGUUGCACUAUUAGCGCAUACUGAACUUAGCAAACCGCAUACUAGUAGUUACUUCGGGUCAGGGCUCAGCCUAGAUUGUAUAUUAGCAGAAGUCCGCGUUACUACUUCCUAUUUCCAAAAAUUUAAGUGUAUCUUUAAGCGCCGUCGUUUUACAAGACAGAUAAAAAUCGCUGAAAUAGCUAAAGGCUAUCCUAAAAAUCGAGUUUGAAAAGUAUUUCGACAAUUGUGAGAAGCGCUGACAUAAGUGCAUAAUACCAAAUGGGGACUAGUUUGAUUUUUUUUGAUUAACUUAAUGUCACAGAAUUAAUAUUGCAAAUAUGUAUAUAUUUUUUUCAAAAAACCAAAGUCCCCGUGGUUUUUGAACACAUCUCCAACAUUUUCUUCUUCUUUGUUGGCGUAGAUAUCGCUUACUGCAGUGCGCCAGUCGUCCUUGCUUAUUACUGUUUGGCGCAAAUUAGAGACUUCAAGUGUAGCCAGGUCUUCCGCAGAGUCUUUAUCUCCUAACCUAACGCUAACUCAUAAGAUGUGGUCGUCGUCCAUGGCUCUGCAUCAAAUAGCAGGACGGGAAUGAUGAGUGACUUGCAGAAUUUGGUCUUUGUUCGUUGAGAGAGAACACUAUUUCUCAAUUGCCUACUCAGUUCGGUGCUACCUGUUGGUAAGAGUUAUUCUGCAUUGGAUUUCGAGGCUGACGCUGUUAUUGGUUUUAAUGCUGGUUCCAAGAUAGACGAAAUUAUAAACGACUUCAAAGUUAUGAUUGUCAACAGUGACCCGGGGCACCUCGUCUAUAUUCUUAUAAUAUUUGUAUUUUGUAGAUUAACAUAAGUACAGUAAAUGAACAUAUUUUUCUAUAUUAUAUAACCUCUAAUUUUUAUUUUUUUUUUGAUCAUUGUAGGAAGUAUGACUUUUAGACAUAUACAUAUAUAUAUUAUAGACUUAUUCGUGACCUUAUCAAGUGACACUUUAGUAGAACAAAUAUAAACAGCUAUUUUAUAAGAAUAUUGCUAAUUUUUCCACAUUCUCUACCUGACACUUGCAUCCCUACUAAUUAAAAGUGCAACAAAAAUAUUUAACUUGAAACUUGACAGUUAACAAGCAUUAUGUAGAAUUAUAUGCAAAUUAAGUGAACUAAUUGAUAAAACGAAAAUACCUUAUUAUAUGUGACAUUAUUAUGUAACACUUUUCAUUAUAUGAUUGCAUAGCGCUUACUUAGGCAUGGCAGUACUACUUUUUUAAUACACUUCACUAGUUUUAUAUAUUAGCUUGUCACAACGUCAUGGAUUUCUAAUUAGUUAGUGUUAUUUAUGUCGUAACCUUUGUUGUUGUUGGUGCUCAUCAUGCCGAUUGUUUAUUGUUUCAAUUAUUUGGCUUGCUAUUCAGUUGGCAGUUUUCGAACAAACUUUAGAAGUACUCAUCAGCAUAAUCGCCGCAUGUAUAUAUGUAUCUAUAUAUGUAUAUGUAUAUGUAUAUAUACGCACAUAUGUGUUUAGCUAUUUACUCAUUUCUAUUUAAACAAUUUAUUUAUAUGCGAGUCGCUAGCGGCGCGUUUCGAAUACAUUUUCACUUUUUCCAUAUUUUCGAAACGAAUCUUAAAUUCGCCGUGCGUUUCUGCCAAGUGUGAGGUCCUCAUUUGUGUUUGUAUAGUAUGUGUGUGAGUGUGUGUGUUGCAUGUGUCGAUUAUUGCACAGAAAAUUGUUUUGUUUAUACGAGACAUUAGUACUCUCGCUGGCUGAAGAAAAAAUUCAAAUAUCGCCAGCAAUUAAAUAAUCUCUAAUGAGUGUUGAUAAUUAAUUUAGUAGCAACUACUCGUGCACAUACACAAACAUACAUAUUUACUUAUGUAUAUUUACCUCAUUGUAUGCCAGUAUUUAGGUUGAUUAAUCUGUGUGUUGUUUUGAUAGAGGUGUUUCGUUGUCAAUAAAAUAUAUACAUAUACAAACAUACAUACAUACGGAUUUUAAUUUGUGUGAAAAUAUUAAACAAAUAAUAAACAAAUGAUUUAGUAAAAUUAACAGCAACAACAACAACAGCUGCAGUAAAUGGCACAGCCAUGUUCAUACAUACAUAUUGUAUAUGUAUGUAGCUUGUAUAUUUGGCAUCAAAGUGAUGGCCGAAAUCAAACCGGCAUCAAUGAAAUUUUUGAUUUUACGUUAAAAUGUUUGUUACGACCUCGCGCGUGUUACAAGCAAAUGCGGAAACCGGAAUGGGAAGCAGCCUUUUUACUUUGGAAUUAUCUCUACAAGCGUUGAAAUCACGUCAACCAGUACGCACCGUUUUUUUUGAAGCCCCCACUCCACCGGCCCGUAUCUCGACGAAUUUUGGUUUUUUUUUCUUGCAAUUUUUUUUUAUAUUAUUAAAAUGUCAAUAAAAAACAUAUAAAAAAAUGGAUAA